UCCCACUUAACAUGGGCAGUUCCCUAUGACACUUGAAACAUAGGGUAAGGGUUGCGCUCGUUAACCGACUGAACGGGACACUUCACAGCACGAGCUGACGACAACCGUGCAGCACCUGUCAUCUGGCUCCUUGCGGCACCCCCCGGUUUCUCGGGGGUUCCAGAGAUGUCAAGCCUUGGUAAGGUUCUCCGCUUAGUGACGAAUUAAACCACACGCUCCACCGCUUGUGCAGGUCCCCGUCAAUUCCUUUGAGUUUUAAGCUUGCGCUCGUACUCCCCAGGCGGCACAUUUAACGCGUUAGCUUCGCCUCAAGGGAGGGUCGAUACUCCCCAAAAGCUAAUGUGCAUCGUUUACGGCGUGGACUAC
RNAcentral lists this unclassified non-coding RNA (366 nucleotides) under uncultured bacterium. Its description in RNAcentral is "contains 16S-23S intergenic spacer region". The record is from RNAcentral.